RNAcentral lists this ribosomal RNA (458 nucleotides) under uncultured bacterium. RNAcentral's name for it is "partial 16S ribosomal RNA". It matches the Rfam family "Bacterial small subunit ribosomal RNA", at positions 338 to 795 of the family's 1533-position model. The record is from RNAcentral.
CCUACGGGAGGCAGCAGUGAGGAAUAUUGGUCAAUGGGCGAGAGCCUGAACCAGCCAAGUCGCGUGAGGGAGUACUGCCCUAUGGGUUGUAAACCUCUUUUGUCGGGGAGCAAAAGCCGGACGUGUCCGGCUGUGAGAGUACCCGAAGAAAAAGCAUCGGCUAACUCCGUGCCAGCAGCCGCGGUAAUACGGAGGAUGCGGGCGUUAUCCGGAUUUAUUGGGUUUAAGGGGUGUGCAGGCGGAUUUUUAAGUCAGCGGUAAAAUCGUGGGGCUCAACCCCAUCCAGCCGUUGAAACUGGGGAUCUAGAGUGUGCGAGAGGUAUGCGGAAUGCGUGGUGUAGCGGUGAAAUGCAUAGAUAUCACGCAGAACCCCGAUUGCGAAGGCAGCAUACCGGUGCACAACUGACGCUCAGGCACGAAAGCGUGGGUAUCGAACAGGAUUAGAUACCCCUGUAGUC